RNAcentral lists this ribosomal RNA (301 nucleotides) under uncultured bacterium. RNAcentral's name for it is "partial 16S ribosomal RNA". It matches the Rfam family "Bacterial small subunit ribosomal RNA", at positions 509 to 808 of the family's 1533-position model. The record is from RNAcentral.
CAGCCGCCGCGGUAAUACGUAGGUGGCAAGCGUUGUCCGGAAUUAUUGGGCGUAGAGCGCGCGCAGGCGGAUCAGUCAGUCUGUCUUAAAAGUUCGGGGCUUAACCCCGUGAUGGGAUGGAAACUGCUGAUCUAGAGUAUCGGAGAGGAAAGUGGAAUUCCUAGUGUAGCGGUGAAAUGCGUAGAUAUUAGGAAGAACACCAGUGGCGAAGGCGACUUUCUGGACGAAAACUGACGCUGAGGCGCGAAAGCCAGGGGAGCGAACGGGAUUAGAUACCCCCGUAGUCCCUGUCUCUUAUACC